CUACGGGGGGUGCAAGCGUUAAUCGGAAUUACUGGGCGUAAAGCGCGCGUAGGCGGUUUGCUCAGUCGGAUGUGAAAGCCCAGGGCUCAACCUUGGAACUGCAUACGAUACUGGCAAACUAGAGUGUGAGAGAGGAUAGUGGAAUUUCCGGUGUAGCGGUGAAAUGCGUAGAUAUCGGAAGGAACAUCAGUGGCGAAGGCGACUGUCUGGCUCAACACUGACGCUGAGGUGCGAAAGCGUGGGUAGCAAACAGGAUUAGAUACCCUAGUAGUCC
RNAcentral lists this ribosomal RNA (274 nucleotides) under uncultured bacterium. RNAcentral describes it as "partial 16S ribosomal RNA". It matches the Rfam family "Bacterial small subunit ribosomal RNA", at positions 523 to 796 of the family's 1533-position model. The record is from RNAcentral.